UGGGGAAUUUUGGGCAAUGGGCGAAAGCCUGACCCAGCAACGCCGCGUGAAGGAUGAAGUAUUUCGGUAUGUAAACUUCGUAAGAAUAGGAAGAAUAAAUGACGGUACUAUUUGUAAGGUCCGGCUAACUACGUGCCAGCAGCCGCGGUAAUACGUAGGGACCAAGCGUUGUUCGGAUUUACUGGGCGUAAAGGGCGCGUAGGCGGCGUGGUAAGUCAUCUGUGAAAUCUCCGAGCUUAACUCGGAACGGUCAGAUGAUACUGCUGUGCUAGAGUACAGAAGGGGCAAUCGGAAUUCUUGGUGUAGCGGUGAAAUGCGUAGAUAUCAAGAGGAACACCUGAGGCGAAGGCGGGUUGCUGGGCUGAUACUGACGCUGAGGCGCGAAAGCCAGGGGAGCAAACGGGAUUAGAUACCCAGGUAGUCCCUGAGCGGGCUGGCAAGGCGCAU
This 447-nucleotide ribosomal RNA is filed under the name uncultured bacterium. RNAcentral's name for it is "bacterial SSU rRNA". It matches the Rfam family "Bacterial small subunit ribosomal RNA", at positions 355 to 825 of the family's 1533-position model. The record is from RNAcentral.